GGUUUGAUCAUGCUCAGUUGAACGCUGGCGGGAUGCUUUACAUGGGGUCGAACGGCAGCACGGACUUCGGUCUGGUGGCGAGUGGCAGACGGUGCGGGUAAUGUAUCGGAACGUGCCUAGUGGCGGGGGAUAACUACGCGAAAGCGUAGCUAAUACCGCAUACGCCCUUCGGGGAAAGCGGGGACCUUCCGGGCCUCGCACUAUUAGAGCGGCCGAUAUCGGAUUAGCUAGUUGGUGGGGGUAACGGCUCUGGGCGACCGAUCCUUGGCCCUGGUUUAGAGAGGACGACCAGCCGCACUGGGACUGAGACGGCCCAGACUCCUACGGGAGGCAGCAGUGGGGAAUUUUGGACAAUGAGGGGAAACCUGAUCAGCCAUCCCGCGUGUGCGAUGAAGGCCUUCGGGUUGUAAAGCACUUUUGGCAGGAAAGAAACGGCGCAAGGAUGUACACGUGCAUGACGGUACCUGCAGAAUAGCGCCAGCUAACCAUUGCAAGCAGCCGCAGUAAUACGUAAGGUGCAAGCGUUAAUCGGAAUUACUGGGCGUAAAGCGUGCGCAGGCGGUUCGGAAGAAAGAUGUGAAAUCCCAGAGCUUAACUGGAACUGCAUUUUUAACUACCGAGCUAGAGUGUGUCAGAGAAGUGGAAUUCGCGUGUAGCAGUGAAAUGCGUAGAUAUGGAGGAACACCGAUGGCGAAGGCAUUACUCUGGGAUAACACUGACGCUCAUGCACAGCGUGGGAGCAAACAGGAUUAGAUACCCUGGUAGUCCACGCCUAAACGAUGUCAACUAGCUGUUGGGGCCUUCGGACCUUGUUAGCGCAACUAACGCGUGAAGUUGACCGCCUGGGAGAGUACGGUCGCAAGAUUAAAACUCAAAGGAAUUGACGGGGACCCGCACAAGCGGUGGAUGAUGUGGAUUAAUUCGAUGCAACGCGAAAAACCUUACCUACCCUUGACAUGUCUGGAAUCCCGAAGAGAUUUGGGAGUGCUCGCAAGAGAACCGGAACACAGGUGCUGCAUGGCUGUCGUCAGCUCGUGUCGUGAGAUGUUGAGUUAAAGUCCGCAACGAGGGCACCAACCCUUGUCAUUAGUUGCUACGAAAGGGCACUCUAAUGAGACUGCCGGUGACAAACCGGAGGAAGGUGGGGAUGACGUCAAGGUCCUCAUGGCCCUUAUGGGUAGGGCCUGCCCAUCAUACAAUGAUUAGGACGGAGGAUUGUAUGCGAGGAGCCAAUCCCGACCCGAUCGUAGUCCGGAUCACAUGAUCUGCAACUCGACUGCGUGAAGUCGGAAUCGCUAGUAAUCGCGGAUCAGCAUGUCACUUGGUGGAAUACGCGUUCCGGGUCUUGCUUCACACACCGCCCGUCACACCAUGGGAGUGGGUUUUGCCAGAAGUAGUUAGCCUAACCGUAAGGAGGGCGAUUACCACGGUAGGAUUCAUGACUGGGGUGAAGUCGUAACAAGGUAG
This 1467-nucleotide ribosomal RNA is filed under the name uncultured Bordetella sp. RNAcentral describes it as "partial 16S-23S ribosomal RNA intergenic spacer". It matches the Rfam family "Bacterial small subunit ribosomal RNA". The record is from RNAcentral. Lineage: Bacteria; Pseudomonadati; Pseudomonadota; Betaproteobacteria; Burkholderiales; Alcaligenaceae.